GGCGCUUGCCGUUCUUUUGUGGGCGGCCUUGAGCCGGAAGUGGCAAUGCAAUGCGCAGGCAGGAUGAAAUCUUCUUCUUCUUGGCAGUAAAUCAAAGAUUAAUUAGGGAUCCCUAAUUACGCGCAGAGCUAGUCAGGACUUGCUAAAAAAAACGAGUCCUCGUAAUUAGCGGCGUCUCCAUCUGUCGCUGGCGCGUGGGCCAGGGAGCGAGAGUGAGGGCUCCUACUGAUUCAGCUGAAUGCCUGGCCGUACUAUAUAAGUUGGCUCGGGGCCUCUCGCCUCUUUCCCCUCCCCCAACCCAACCCUAGCAGCCAUGGCGUGUGUGCUCCGAGCUCGCGAAAACAACCGUCUCAUCAUCAUGCCUCGCCGAAGAAGGCGGCGUCUGCAGGACCUCUAUCUGCCGGCUUGGGGUAUAAUCCACCAUGAUUGAUUGGCCUGGCUCAAGAGGUGACCCUUCCAUCCAUCUUGCUGUCGGUAUCCUAUCUGAAUUCAGACACACGACGAAUCGUCGGAGAUCGGAUCGUGAAUGGGCUUCUCCGGUCCGUUUGGGGUGCCGGCCCAGCGGCCCCGUUGGAGGCGCUGAUGCCGGAUCCAACUGGACCGACCCAAGGCGCGGCCUCUCACUAGCCAAACAUCAGACUACUCCACCCGAGCCCCUUCCCGCUCAGAGUCGCAACCGACCGCCCGCCCGCCCCCCAUCCGCCCCCAAAUCUCUCCAUUGCUAGGGUUUUCGACCUCCGCCAUCGCGAAUCCUACCUCUCAAUGGCGUUUCCGUCCGCCGAUGGAGGCUCUGAUGCCGGAUCCGGCGAGGGCGUGGCGGGCGCCGACUCCGGUGCCCGCGGCCAUGCUCGAGGGCACCACCCCGGCGAGGGCGCCGACUCCGGUGGCCGCGGCCAUGCUCGAGGGCACCAUCCCGGCGAGGGCGCUCGCGGCGCUGACUCCGGUGGCCGCGCCCAUGCCCGAGGGUACACCAGCGAGGGCGGGACGGGCGCUUACUCCGGUGGCCGCGGCCAUGCCCCAGGACACACCGGCGAGGGAUUCUCUUGGGCCAGGCCGUGGGAAGCACCAGGCCCGAGUCCUGGUCAACCUCUUCGAUGGUUCAGCAGGCUGGCUGUGGCCAUCGGGUUCAGGCCCGACCCCAACAAAAGGCGGGGCUACACCCCAACGCCAACUCAAAUCGUGCCUGUUGACCUCUCACCGACCCAGAUUGAAAGGGCUGAGCUGUAUCAAUUUAAAAAGCAUCUUGAUGACCUUUUGAAAGAGGCAAGGCUUGAGUUGAAGACCCCUGCUGAGUUUGAUAGUAAUAUUUCUGUGACCGUCCUGAAGCCCUGGCAGGGUGUUCUUGUAAAAUCAGCGAUUGCCUUUGCGUCUAUGAGACGACCGGGCGCCGUUCAAAUGCGGUGGAAACUUGGCUUCACUGCUGUUGAUGUUUAUAUGGAUAAUCAAUCUCUCAAUAGCAAAUAUGUUAGAUUACUUAACGAGUUCACUUUCAAUAUGAAGUCUGUAGUUGAGUAUGCUCGAGACCACAAUGAAAUAACUGAUGAAUGUGCUGUUGAGUUGCUAAAUGCGCUGAGGAAGUUCCACACAAAUGUUUCAGAGGUGUUGGCUCGUGAUGACAGUCGUUUUUUGGAGGCAAUGCAACAGCUACGUGAAAAUGUUUCCUCUCUUGGUGAUAAGCUUUUAUCUUUUGGCAGUGCAUUCAGAGUUUUUAAUAGCUUUGCCGAUGUGGCAUAUCGUGUAUCGCAGAUGGGUGGUGACCCUGCCCUUUUUGAAGAUAUUGGCAAGGAAGUUACUGAUAUGACAAGAGACCCGUUUUUGCUAAAGAAUGUUUAUUUGGGCGCAAUGCAGAACUAUUCUGUAACUUUUGGCUCUGAAAUUGUUGGAAAGAACCUGCUCAAGAAGUUACACCUGGGUGUGAGAAAUUCUGAUUUAUCAAUAUGCUUGUCCGCAUCGGAAGUUACACCUGGUCAGGCUGCUGAAGCAAAUGGCGCUGAUGUUAAUCUGUAUAAUCAGCUGAAUUAUGCUGAGUUGCAUGCGGAGAAACUGUUUGCUGAUAACUUCAAAGGAAUGCUUCACAUACCUUACUCCCUUAGAAAAUCUAAACUUGAGUUGCAAAGUCUGCAACCAUUCCAAUCUUUUUCUGGUUGUAUUGGGCUGAACAAGAACAGGAAGCCAUACUUUUCCUCAUCUAGUUUUUGUGGUGUUAAGGAUCUGAAAUUAUAUAAUGUUGAAAGCCUUGGGUUUGGUGGAAAGCUUCACAUAAAUGAUGGGGAUUCUUGGAUCAAUUGUUCUGCUGGUGUAUCUGUCUCAUCCCUGUGGUGCAACCUUGGUCUUACAUUUAAGCAACCAGGCCUCUUCACAGCAACUUGUUCCAGCCGUAUGGGCAAUGGUAGCACUAUUCUUGGCGGUUAUAUCAGUUAUAGCUAUGCGGAGGACCGGACCAAGUUUGCUGCUGGAGUUCAGCAUUCAGUUGAUAGCUCUAUGUAUCUGAAGAGCUGCAUUGGAAGUGACAAAGUUCUCAGAAGUGUUGUCUCCAAGAGCUUCGGCAAAUCCCGUCUCAAUCUUGUAGCUGAAGUUAAUUUCAAGGACUUCCGGAAGCUUUCCCGUGCUGGGAUUUAUUUUUCAUUCCCUUGAGACACUUAACAGGUUUCAAGAGUUGGCACCCUUCAAGAAGUAUAUUUGCUCUUCCAGGUUUCAAGAGUUGGCACCCUUGUUGCUCUUCCAGGUCUCGAAAGUUGGCCUGUCAAACUCACGCCUGAGCAAUUUUGUUCUGUUUUGUGAUGGAUGUACAGCACACAACAACACAAACCCCCCAUGGGUUUUGAGCAUCCUUUUGCUCGUGUAAAGUAACUUGGAUAGAUAUGAUAGAAUCGAUUGCAUACGGUUGCGGGUUUUGAGCAUUGGUUUUGCUCCUGUAAAAAAAAGCUUGGAGAGACUAGACAGGUAGAAUUGAUUACCAGUUGGGCGGAGAUACGUUAGAAAGUAUACGUAAUAAUUUGGUGGAUGUCUUUUAGGUCUUUGUACUGUGAUGAUGGAAAUGGAUCUGUUGUUGCAACUUGAUAGAAAUUGAUGUUUCUUGUCUUGGUAUACAAGAUAGUUGAUUUGUUUUUCUCG
This 3114-nucleotide ribosomal RNA is filed under the name Triticum aestivum (bread wheat). RNAcentral's name for it is "partial small subunit ribosomal RNA". Lineage: Eukaryota; Viridiplantae; Streptophyta; Magnoliopsida; Poales; Poaceae. The record is from RNAcentral.